Molecule: long non-coding RNA, 2134 nt
Organism: Oncorhynchus tshawytscha (Chinook salmon)
Lineage: Eukaryota; Metazoa; Chordata; Actinopteri; Salmoniformes; Salmonidae
Exons: 5
Source: RefSeq, a predicted model, not a curated record
UUUUAUUCAUGGGUAUGACGUAGGUAGAUUCUGGUAGAUCAGGCCUCUGGUAGGUUGCUGGUAGUUGAUUGGCAGUUCCCUCCAGACUGGUGUCGGCGUCCCAUUGGCAGUUGGAAGGGUUCUUUGUCUUUGGAACCCAUCCCCAGGAGAGGGAAUGAGUGUGUGUAUGUGUGUGCGUUCCUGUCUUGGCAAGUCAAGUCUGUGUGUCCUCGCAGUGAGUGUGUGUAAUGUGUGUGCGUUCUUAUCUUGGUGUUCUCGCAAUGAGUGUGUGUAUGUGUGUGCGUUCUUGUCUUGGCAAGAUGUUGUGGCCGAACUGACGGCUAGCACCUGUGGCUAGGAUGUAUCCUGUUUUGACAGUGUUGUGGAUGAUUUAACAUCAGUACAACAUGCCUGACUCUCCUCCACCAGUCACAAGGAGAAUGGUAUAAUGCAUCCCAUCAAAAAGAGAGCUGGCCCAAGCAAGCACAGGUUACACCUGAAGCAUGAGGACUUGCAGCGAGUGGUGAACUUCAUCAACAACUAUGCAGAGGAUAAUGCAAUAGUAUUACCAGGACACCACCCAGGAGACAAACACUUUGGUGGAAAGCUGCUGCCAUCCCAUAUGACAAAAGGAGCAGUAUGGCGUCUCUACAAGGAAUCGAUGACAACACUUGAGGUAGGUGUAGUCAGGCUGUCUUCCUUCAGGAAUUUGUGGAGAAAAUUGCUGCCCCACAUCUCAAGCACUAAGCUCAGGACAGACCUCAGGACAGACCUGUGCUGGCAGUGCCAGAGGAACAAUUAUCAGGUCUUCAGAUCUGCCAAUCUGACAGAAGUUGUUAAAUCAGCCAAACUGAAGAAGCAAGAACAGAAUCUCCUGCUUGUUCAGAGUGAGCUGUCUGUCUACCAGAAGAUGUUUGCUGACUGCAAGACCACCUGUCAAGACCUGCAAUUGUCUCUGGGGGCCCUUACUGAACCAGCAAGCAAGACAUCAGGAUGGAUUUUUGAUUUUGCUCAACAAUGUGUUUUGUUUGGUGUCUGCUGGGAAGGAAUACCACAACAAAAGGUUCUACAGCUGCAACAUCGAAAGUAUCCUGACUGGUUGCAUCACUGCCUGGUACGGCAAUUGCUCGGCCUUCAACCGCAGUUGGGGAAACACGUGUGGACCUGAAUUGUGAUAACUGCAGUGGUCAAAACAAGGCCCUUUUCUCAAAAUGUACUCAGCAAGUCGGGAGUUUGCGAAGCAGGAUUUACUUGACGUGAUGUGAUCUACUUGACUUCAAAGAGGUCCAGCCAAUCUUUUGGUAAAUAAUACAGUGAUAAAUAAUAAAACUAAGGGAGGUAUGAAAAACGUCAUCCAAGGGUUUAUUAAGAGUAGAGACAGCUGCACUUUGACAAAUAGUAUCACCAUAUUCAAGAACAGGUAGAAAGGUUGACUGCACAAUUUGCUCCCUGCUGACUAGAGAGAGACAAGAUAUGUUUUCUUAAAAAGUAAAAGCUCAGUCAUGUUUUAAGAACAAUAAAUCAUUGUCAAUCCAAAUACCUAGGCAGUUUUAUGCAAGAACCAUCCAAUAAGUUAAGAUGUAAUCCAUCUUAGACAAUCUUACGAGAACUUGGAAACAAUAUUUAUUAUACCCGUAUUAAGUAUGAGUUUUAAAUCAGUAAGGACUUCCGGUACAACUGCAAAAUCGGAAUGUAGUCUUGUCACAGCCAAGCGGUCGGGGCAAUUGUGUGUAUAAUAGUAUCAUCCGCAUAUAGAUUAAAUGUAAAAAUUGAAACAGAUUGACCAAUAGCAUUUAUAUUGUCACGCUCUGAUCUGUUUCACCUGUCCUUGUGCUUGUCUCCACCCCCUCCAGGUGUCGCCCAUCUUCCCCAUUAUCCCCUGGGUACUUAUACCUGUGUUCUCUGUCUAUUGCCAGUUUGUUUUGUCUGUUCAAGUCAACCAGCAUCUUGUCUCAGCUCCUGCUUUCCCCAGUCUCACUUUUUCUCUUCCUCUUGGUUUUGACCCUUGCCUGUCCUGACUCUGAGCCUGCCUGGUGUCCUGUGCCUUUGCUUCUACUCUGGAUUACUGACCUUUGCCUGACCUGACCCUGGCCUGCCUGAUGUCCUGUACCUUGGCCCCACAACUCUGGAUUAUCAACCCCUGCCUGCCUUGACC